Molecule: ribosomal RNA, 253 nt
Filed under: uncultured bacterium
Lineage: Bacteria
Description: partial 16S ribosomal RNA
Rfam family: Bacterial small subunit ribosomal RNA
Source: RNAcentral
UACGGGGGGGGCAAGCGUUGUUCGGAAUUACUGGGCGUAAAGGGCGCGUAGGCGGCGUGACAAGUCACUUGUGAAAUCUCCGGGCUUAACUCGGAACGGCCAAGUGAUACUGUCGUGCUAGAGUGCAGAAGGGGCAAUCGGAAUUCUUGGUGUAGCGGUGAAAUGCGUAGAUAUCAAGAGGAACACCUGAGGUGAAGACGGGUUGCUGGGCUGACACUGACGCUGAGGCGCGAAAGCUAGGGGAGCAAACGGG